GAGGUCCUUCAAGCAAUCGCUCGGGCGGCUUGACUGCCUGAGAGGAAAGUCCGAGCUCCAUAGGACAUGACGCCGGAUAACGCCCGGGAGCCGUAAGGCUACAGAGAGUGCAACAGAAAGUAUACCGCCCCGCAAGGGGUAAGGGUGAAAUGGUGGGGUAAGAGCCCACCGGUCUUUCAGUAAUGGAAGGCGCAUGGUAAACCUCGUCAGGAGCAAGGUCAAGAAGCGUGUGGAUUGUCCGUCCCAUACACGCGGGUAGGCUGCUUGAGACUGUCGGUGACGGCAGUCCUAGAUAGAUGAUUGCAUAAACAGAACUCGGCUUAUGAAGGGCCUUCUAU
This 338-nucleotide RNase P RNA is filed under the name Spirochaetales bacterium. RNAcentral describes it as "RNase P RNA component class A". It matches the Rfam family "Bacterial RNase P class A". From Rfam's summary of the family: Ribonuclease P (RNase P) is a ubiquitous endoribonuclease, found in archaea, bacteria and eukarya as well as chloroplasts and mitochondria. Its best characterised activity is the generation of mature 5'-ends of tRNAs by cleaving the 5'-leader elements of precursor-tRNAs. Cellular RNase Ps are ribonucleoproteins. Lineage: Bacteria; Pseudomonadati; Spirochaetota; Spirochaetia; Spirochaetales. The record is from RNAcentral.